AAGGAAUGUUGGACAAUGGAGGCAACUCUGAUCCAGCCAUGCCGCGUGAAGGAAUAAGGCCCUAUGGGUUGUAAACUUCUUUUAGACGGGACAAAACCCCUUUACGUGUAAAGGGUUGAUGGUACUGUCAGAAUAAGCAUCGGCUAACUUCGUGCCAGCAGCCGCGGUAAUACGAAGGAUGCAAGCGUUAUCCGGAAUUAUUGGGUUUAAAGGGUGCGUAGGCGGACUAAUAAGUCAGUGGUGAAAGCCUGCAGCUUAACUGCAGAAUUGCCAUUGAUACUGUUAGUCUUGAGUACAGUUGAGGUAGGCGGAAUGUGUCAUGUAGCGGUGAAAUGCUUAGAUAUGACACAGAACACCGAUUGCGAAGGCAGCUUGCUAAGCUGUAACUGACGCUGAGGCACGAAAGCGUGGGGAGCAAAC
Molecule: ribosomal RNA, 420 nt
Filed under: uncultured bacterium
Lineage: Bacteria
Description: bacterial SSU rRNA
Rfam family: Bacterial small subunit ribosomal RNA
Source: RNAcentral